GAUGAACGCUGGCGGCGUGCCUAAUACAUGCAAGUCGAGCGAACGGACGAGAAGCUUGCUUCUCUGAUGUUAGCGGCGGACGGGAGAGUAACACGUGGAUAACCUACCUAUAAGACUGGGAUAACUUCGGGAAACCGGAGCUAAUACCGGAUAAUAUUUUGAACCGCAUGGUUCAAAAGUGAAAGACGGUCUUGCUGUCACUUAUAGAUGGAUCCGCGCUGCAUUAGCUAGUUGGUAAGGUAACGGCUUACCAAGGGAACGAUGCAUAGCCGACCUGAGAGGGUGAUCGGCCACACUGGAACUGAGACACGGUCCAUACGCCUACGGGAGGCAGCAGUAGGGAAUCGUCCGCAAUGGGCGAAAGCCUGACGGAGCGACGCCGCGUGAGUGAUGAAGGUCUUCGGAUCGUAAAACUCUGUUAUUAGGGAAGAACAUAUGUGUAAGUAACUGUGCACAUCUUGACGGUACCUAAUCAGAAAGCCACGGCUAACUACGUG
This 497-nucleotide ribosomal RNA is filed under the name uncultured bacterium. RNAcentral describes it as "partial 16S ribosomal RNA". It matches the Rfam family "Bacterial small subunit ribosomal RNA", at positions 28 to 507 of the family's 1533-position model. The record is from RNAcentral.